Molossus molossus (Pallas's mastiff bat) is the source of this 790-nucleotide long non-coding RNA. RefSeq lists it as uncharacterized. The transcript has 3 exons. The record is from RefSeq and is a predicted model, not a curated record. Lineage: Eukaryota; Metazoa; Chordata; Mammalia; Chiroptera; Molossidae.
AAUUUGACGCCACUCAGCCUGAGAUACUGAGAAGCAUAUGUCCCAACUUGAAGCCAAAACAGAGACCUGGAGAGGCUGCACGUGUUAGUUCCCUGCCAGGGUAUAGGGCCCAGAUGUGGGCCAAAGGAAGACCUGCUACCAACCCCUGAUUCAUUCAAGAAUGAUAUCUCAUCGUAUGGAUUUUUGUUCACCCAUUUAUCUACUGAUGGAAAUUUGUAUUGCUUCCACUGUGGGCUCUAAUGAACAAUGCUGCCAUGAACAUUUGUGUACAUACCUGCACUUCCUCAUGGAUAAAGCACUUCCAUUGGCUAAAUCGGGUGAGCAGGGCUUUAGUUGUGGGCCAAACGAGAUCUUGGGAUAACAACAGACCCCCCUGGUCCCCACGAAAAUCUGAGGAUGCCGUGAACAUAAUGUCUCCGGCCUCUUCUCAUUUCAGAAGUUCCAAACAAGAACUUUCCUGUGCAGAGGCCGCGGAAGCCACACCAGUUUUCUGUUUUUGGUAUUAAAUUUAGACCUUUCAUCCUGACCAUGAGAUAUUUCUGGAUUCUGCACGAGUAUUCAGCAAAUGCCAGUUUUCAAGAUGCUAUCCCAUCUGGGGUACUCUGCACACUGCCCGCUUUAUCUGGUUUUUUUUUUUAACUGAGAAAAAUGACCCAGACGCAGGAGCAAAUUCGGAAGUGGGUUAUUCUGUUAUCCAUUAAUUGUCAUUUAAUGCCUGAGCCAUCUAGGUUACUUGGAGAUGAAAGAAACUAAAUUUAACCGGAAACCUGAAUUUGGUUUUGCAGAUAGC